Gallus gallus (chicken) is the source of this 1259-nucleotide long non-coding RNA. Lineage: Eukaryota; Metazoa; Chordata; Aves; Galliformes; Phasianidae. The record is from Ensembl.
AGUUCCAUGAAAGAAGAGGAAAGGACAGUUUGUGCUUGAUGUUUAACCUGCAAUUCUGUUUUCCAGAAACUCUACAGAUUAAUGGCUUUGAUUAUAUUUUAAGAACUCCCAGUGUGACACAACGAGCUAUCAACUCCUGCUGCUAUCCUCUAUAGAAGGCCAAACUCUGUGCUGUUAGGUUGCUUCAUCAGCAGUAUAAAUCCAAUGUGGUGCCAAAGACUGCAAAGGAACAGCUUUACCGGCAGGUAACACAGCUUCUCUGGAGCCAUGGAAAUAAGAGAACAAAAGUUCCUCACAGCUGUCUGCAUAAACAACAAAUGGCCCGGCACAGUGCAGACUGCAGUACUUCUCUGUUUCUCCCACUGCUGAGAACACGCAGUUUUAGCACUGAGGAUGCCAUCGGAGAAGCAGUGAGGGAAGUAACAGAGACAGCAACUGUAGCACUGCUACAGGAACAGCCAAAUCUAUAUUCCUAACCAAGAUUUACUCCAACUCCCUGGAGCUGCAAGACCCAACUAUUACACAGGACUGCACAAGUUUAACAUCUGUGAACGCACGCAGAUUGCUGCAGCCAGCAGGUCAGGCUAUGGAUCCCAACUACCCAGUGGGAAACUGGAAUACUUCACAGUUCAAGGAAAAUCAGAGUUCAAGCCUAGAUUGAAAUCUCACCCAACCCACUGCAAAUCCAAAAAUAGACCUGAAUUGCUCAAAUUUACACUUAAUUGGCUGUACAGGCAGACUCAUUUUAAUUACGGCACAGUAUUGACAGGGUAAUCAUCACACAAAGGAAAACCUUACUAUGCUUUGGGCAUCUUUAACCUGGUAAUAAAAACAACAGCAUAAUGCUGCUGGGAGAAAAGCGACCACGUGCUCCUCGCCUUGCACCCAGCGCACAACGCCUGAGCCAGCAGCACGGAGAGGUGGGCUGCAGAGCAAAGCAUUCUCUGCUUACACGGAGUUGGCCCUUUCUCUCUGGACAGUAAACAACAGCACCCAUCCUCAGUUAUGAGUAAGGAAAAACCACCACUUGGUAAUUAAAUAACCUGGCAUCUAACGUUUAAUCUCCCUGAACACCUGUCACGUCUCAGCACCCUAUGAAUAGUGAACAGGUAGGACCAAGGAAAGCAAAGACUUUAUUUUUAAAUACAAUUACGUAUUCUAGGAUCAGGAAGCAGUACUAAUCAUAUACAUCUGCAGCAUCAUGCACAUAUAAUGGCCGGUUAACAAGCAUUUUAAUAUUCAUGUCUUAUUAAAUAUGC